UACGGAGGGUGCAAGCGUUAUCCGGGUUCACUGGGUUUAAAGGGUGCGUAGGUGGGCAGGUAAGUCAGUGGUGAAAUCUCCGGGCUUAACCCGGAAACUGCCGUUGAUACUAUUUGUCUUGAAUAUAGUGGAGGUGAGCGGAAUAUGUCAUGUAGCGGUGAAAUGCUUAGAUAUGACAUAGAACACCCAUUGCGAAGGCAGCUCGCUACACUAUCAUUGACGCUGAGGCACGAAAGCGUGGGGAUCAAACAGG
Molecule: ribosomal RNA, 253 nt
Filed under: uncultured bacterium
Lineage: Bacteria
Description: partial 16S ribosomal RNA
Rfam family: Bacterial small subunit ribosomal RNA
Source: RNAcentral